GACCGUGGAUCGGAUCCUGUCCGUUGGAGCUGGCCUCGGUUUUAAAUAACGGACUAUGCCUGUAGAAGCUCGGCGGGAAACGUUUCGGGACCCGGGUUCGACUCCCGGCGCCUCCACCA
This 119-nucleotide transfer-messenger RNA is filed under the name bacterium TMED181. Its description in RNAcentral is "partial transfer-messenger RNA". It matches the Rfam family "transfer-messenger RNA", at positions 253 to 374 of the family's 374-position model. Rfam says of the family: Bacterial tmRNA, also known as 10Sa RNA or SsrA, is named for its dual tRNA and mRNA-like properties. Its role is to liberate the mRNA from a stalled ribosome. RNAcentral also lists the same sequence under 1 other name. The record is from RNAcentral.